Molecule: ribosomal RNA, 291 nt
Filed under: Triticum aestivum (bread wheat)
Lineage: Eukaryota; Viridiplantae; Streptophyta; Magnoliopsida; Poales; Poaceae
Description: partial small subunit ribosomal RNA
Source: RNAcentral
AUGCACUGGUUUGCGUGGUGGAAAAUGUGUGUUUCGAAGAAGAAGGGUGGUAUGGGGUUUAGGGACCUUCAUAGCUUUAACCUUGCUAUGCUAGCAAAGCAGUGUUGGCGACUUCUCCAAAAUCCCGAAUCUUUGUGGACGCGUGUUCUCAGUGCUAAGUACUAUCCUGGAGGUGACAUAUUAAAAGCAGGGCCAAGAAAGGAACCUCAUUCACAUGGCAAAGUAUUGUUGCUGGGAUUCAAACCUUCAAAAGGGGCUGUAUAUGGCAAGUUGGGACGGGGUCACAUAUAA